GCCACGGUGGUCUAGCGGUUAGGACGCUGGCCUUGUAAUCCUGGGGUCUCGGGUUCGAUUCCCGGCGGUGUCC
This 73-nucleotide transfer RNA is filed under the name Zootermopsis nevadensis. It matches the Rfam family "tRNA". From Rfam's summary of the family: Transfer RNA (tRNA) molecules are approximately 80 nucleotides in length. Their secondary structure includes four short double-helical elements and three loops (D, anti-codon, and T loops). The record is from Rfam by way of RNAcentral. Lineage: Eukaryota; Metazoa; Arthropoda; Insecta; Blattodea; Termopsidae.